GGUUUUUAGGGAAAUAUUUAGGCCCCAUUUGGUGGGCUGGACUGGACUUGAUAUUUUCAAUUAAAAUGGACAUGUAUCCUAGCCAUUGUUUGUUGAGCUUAAAUUAAUCUUGGAUUGGAUAUAUAUAGGCAUGGGAUCCAUGUCCCAAAUAACUAUGGCUCCAGAACCGAAGCCCAGAUGUGGGUUUAGAAUCUGAGUCUUUUCUAGAGACACGCCUCUUCUCUCUUAUCUCGGCGAGCACGCCUCCUCUCAUUAGUUUCUUCUCUUCUCUCUCUUCCGCUCUCUCUUCUCUCUUCCUCUCUUUCUGUCUUUGUGAUUUUCUCCUCUCUCUUUUUUUUUUUUUUUUCUAGAGCCCCCUUUCUUCUUCUGUUCUUCUAUUCAUCUUCUUCUCUGAUGCUAUCUCAUAUUUCAAGCAAUCUUCUCACUUCAAUCUCUCUUUUGGAAAUAAGAACAAGAAAAAUGGAAGGAAAAUGGUGGGUUUGAUGCAAAGACCAUUGGCUGUAAUAGGGUACUAAAAAUCCCAUCAUGACUCAUUGGUGUUGUCAAGACAUGGAGGUCUGAGAGCUUGAUCAUUGCCAUGGCAAAGUCUCGCGGGAACAAGUAGGCAUCAAAAGCAUAUGCUCAACGCAAUUCCAAGUUCCUUCCCCAGCCAUCAGCUGCUGGUCAGAGAAUUCAUGUACCUUGUAGAAGACUCUGACUGUUAUUGCAUGUUGAUCUCAUGAGGUGAAGGAAGUCAACAUUCAUGGCCACCACUGAAGUUAUAGAAACGGUUUUCGAAGAAUCUGCAUUGUAUCACUCCAAUGCUGUGAGAAAGAGCAGACAGCUACAAAGCAAUGAGCAACUUUAACAAAUAUUCAUAUCAGUCAGACAUCCAGUUUGGGAUAUUACCGUACAAAACCAGCUGGUGCCCGGAUACCAGUUAUAAAUCUACCAGACAAACUGUGUUCCAAUUGAACAGAAUUAACUACAUUUCUUUCUUUCUUUGGAACAGAAUUAACUGCAUUUCUACUGUAAUCAUUAAAGAUGACGAAAUCCUCCAGAUAACCUGAGAUCAGAAAAGGGAAAGAAAAAAAAAUAGAGUUUCAAUCUUAUGUUU
Molecule: long non-coding RNA, 1096 nt
Organism: Prunus persica (peach)
Lineage: Eukaryota; Viridiplantae; Streptophyta; Magnoliopsida; Rosales; Rosaceae
Exons: 2
Source: RefSeq, a predicted model, not a curated record